This 667-nucleotide ribosomal RNA is filed under the name uncultured archaeon. Its description in RNAcentral is "bacterial SSU rRNA". It matches the Rfam family "Archaeal small subunit ribosomal RNA", at positions 199 to 868 of the family's 1478-position model. The record is from RNAcentral.
GCGGCGUAGGAUAGCUCUGCGGCCUAUCAGGUUGUAGCGAGGGUAACGUCCUCGCUAGCCUACGACGGGUAUGGGUGUUGGGAGACAUCGCCCAGAGAUGGAUUCUGAGACACGAAUCCAGGCCCUACGGGGCGCAGCAGGCGCGAAAACUGCACAAUGUGGGAAACCACGAUGCGGGAAACCCAAGUGCCAGCACUAUGUGUUGGCUGUCCUCGACUGUUUGUAGGUCGGGAAGAAAGAGCUGGGUAAGACGGGUGCCAGCCGCCGCGGUAAUACCCGCAGCUCAAGUGGUGGUCAUUAUUAUUGGGCCUAAAGCGUCCGUAGCUGGCCUGUUAGAUGCCUGGGUAAAUCGAUGCGCUCAACGUAUCGAAUUCCGGGUAGACCGGCAGGCUCGGGACCGGGAGAGGCGUGAGCUACUCGAGGGGUAGGGGUAAAAUCCUGUAAUCCUUCGGGGAGGACCAGUGGCGAAGGCGUCACGCUAGAACGGCUCCGACAGUGAGGGACGAAGCCCUGGGGCGCAAACCGGAUUAGAUACCCGGGUAGUCCAGGGUGUAAACGCUGCAGACUUGGUGUCGCUGAUCCUACGAGGGUUGGCGGUGCCGUAGAGAAGUUGUUUAGUCUGCCGCCUGGGGAGUACGGUCGCAAGACUGAAACUUAAAGGAAUUGG